UACGUAGGGUGCGAGCGUUAAUCGGAAUUACUGGGUGUAAAGUGUGCGCAGGUGGCCGCGCAAGUCGAGUGUGAAAUCCCCGAGCUUAACUUGGGAAUUGCGCUCGAAACUACGUGGCUCGAGUGUGGCAGAGGAAGGUGGAAUUCCACGUGUAGCGGUGAAAUGCGUAGAGAUGUGGAGGAACACCGAUGGCGAAGGCGGCAUCCUGGACCAACACUGACGCUGAGUGAGCGAAAGCCAGGGGAGCAAACGGG
RNAcentral lists this ribosomal RNA (254 nucleotides) under uncultured bacterium. Its description in RNAcentral is "partial 16S ribosomal RNA". It matches the Rfam family "Bacterial small subunit ribosomal RNA", at positions 524 to 776 of the family's 1533-position model. The record is from RNAcentral.